UCUUGAAUCUUCUUCCAUCUUUGUUUUCGGUUAUUUAGUCAUGUGUUGCAAGGUGGUGAUGAAGAUGAAAUCUGGUUUUGAGGGAGAAAAUAAAGAGGGUGAGAGCCAAGCUAUAGAAAUCGCACUUACUGGUUUUGAUAUUUGUUCAAGUCCAUUAAGAAGGGAGCCAAGGAAGAAGCAAGGGGAAGUUAGUACAGAAGAAAAAGCAAAAGCAAGAGCAAGUACUCCUAAGGGCAAGGGAGUAGUGAUCGGUGGAGUUUGAAGGUGCAGGAAGCGGACGAUCUUUUGUAUAUAUAUAUUUUGCUUAAAAUGCAUCUUAUUUUGAAGUGAAAAUAUAUUGUGUAUCUAUU
Neltuma alba is the source of this 350-nucleotide long non-coding RNA. RefSeq lists it as uncharacterized. The transcript is spliced from 3 exons. Lineage: Eukaryota; Viridiplantae; Streptophyta; Magnoliopsida; Fabales; Fabaceae. The record is from RefSeq and is a predicted model, not a curated record.